AUGGAGGUCGUCUACCUCGGCGUAGCUCUCGUGUCCUUGUGUGCCGUGCUUCUUUCCAGCCGCAGACGCAGGCGCUCGGCAAUGAACGAGCUGCCGGGGCCGUGGCAGCUGCCGGUGAUCGGAAGCCUGCACCACCUCGUCGGGCAGCUCCCCCACCGCGCGAUGCGUGACCUAGCGCGGCGCUACGGGCCGGUCAUGCUCCUCCGGCUCGGCGAGGUGCCCACGCUGGUGGUGUCGUCCCGGGAGGGUGCCCGUGAGGUGACGAAGACCCACGACUUGGCGUUUGCGACGCGGCCUCUGAGCGCCACAGCGCGUGUGCUCACCAACGGCGGCCGGGACAUUGUGUUCGCACCGUACGGUGACCACUGGCACCAGGUUAAGAAGAUCGCCGUCUUCGAGCUCUUAUCGGCGCGGCGCGUCACGUCCUUCCGCGCCGUCCGCGAGGAGGAGGUCGCCGCCGUGCUCCGCGAUGUCGCCGAGGCCGCGGUGGCCACGCGCCCCGUGGAGCUGCGCGCGUGCCUCUCCGCGCUCGGCAUCGACAUCACGGUCCGCGCCAUCAUGGGUGACCGGUUCAAGGAGCGCGAUGUGUUCCUCCACGCGCUCGACCGCUCCACGAAGCUCGUGGCGGGGUUCAACCCGCCGGACCUGUGGCCGUCGUCCCGGUUUGCCGGCUAUCUCAGCGGGGCCGUGCGCAGCGCCAAGGAGUGCCGUGACAUCGGGAACGGCAUCCUCGACGCCAUCAUCAAGGAGCGGCUCGAGAGGACGAUGGAAGGUGGCGGAGGCCAGAAGAACGAGGACUUGCUCGACGUGCUGCUAAGCAUGCACAAGGAGGGCAAGCUCGACAUGGACGCCGUCAAAUACGUCAUCUUCGACCUAUUCAGCGCCGGCAGCGAGACAACUACGCUAGAGUGGGCAUUCGCAGAGCUGAUGAGGAACCCAAAGGUGAUGCACAAGGCAACCGCCGAGGUUCGGCGAGCCUUCAGGGCCCAAGGCACCGUAGCGGAGCACCGCCUCAACGAGCUCCCGUACAUGCACCUGGUCAUUCGGGAGGCGCUGCGGCUGCACAUGCCCACGCCGUUGCUCCUCCCGCGGGAGUGCCGGGAGCCAUGCCAGGUGCUCGGGUAUGACGUGCCGCAGGGCACGCAGCUGCUAGUCAACGUCUGGGCACUGGGCCGUGACAAGCGGUACUGGCCUGACGGGCCGGAGGAGUUUCGGCCGGAGCGGUUCGAGGACGAGGAUGCUGUGGACUUUAAGGGUAACGACUUCUCUUUUCUGCCGUUCGGCGCAGGCCGGAGGAUGUGCCCUGCCAUGGCAUUCGGCCUCGCCAACAUCGAGCUCGCACUCGCGAGCCUGCUGUUCCACUUCGACUAGGAGGGUCCAAGUCCAGAUGAAUUGGACAUGGCCGAGGCGUUUGGUGUUACCGCGCGGCGGAAGGCCGACCUCCUCCUGCGCCCUGUCCUCCGUGUGCCCGUUCCCUUCCUGGAGUCUACUCCACCGGCAGGCAACGGAGAUCGUUAG
This 1518-nucleotide ribosomal RNA is filed under the name Triticum aestivum (bread wheat). RNAcentral describes it as "partial small subunit ribosomal RNA". The record is from RNAcentral. Lineage: Eukaryota; Viridiplantae; Streptophyta; Magnoliopsida; Poales; Poaceae.